GAAAAAAAAGUUCCCGCCCCUGGACCUGACCUCAGCAUGGUAUGAAUAACCCGGCUGGAGAUCCCUUUCCCCUCUCUCUCUGCUGGGCAAACUUAACCCUCUCCUAGCUGAACCAGGUCAACCAGCAAUGCCCCUUUGUUG
This is a long non-coding RNA of Athene cunicularia (burrowing owl), 141 nucleotides long. RefSeq lists it as uncharacterized. The transcript has 3 exons. The record is from RefSeq and is a predicted model, not a curated record. NCBI's taxonomy places the organism in Eukaryota, Metazoa, Chordata, Aves, Strigiformes, Strigidae.